AACGAACGCUGGCGGCAUGCCUAACACAUGCAAGUCGAACGAGAUCCUUCUGGGUCUUGUGUCUCACGGGUGCGUAACGCGUGGGAAUCUGCCCUUAGAUUCGGAUUUACAUUUACAUAUGACUUCUCGUACCGAAUGAUGACGUUAUGUCCAAAACUUGCUACCCUGAGGAUGAGCCGGUGUUGGAUUCUCUAGUUGGUGUGUUAAAGGCGCACCAAUGGGCGGAUCGUUAGCUGGUCUGAGAGGAUGAGCAGCGACACUGAGACUGAGAAACAGCCGAGACUCCUACGGGAGGGAGCAGUGGGGAAUAGUGGAAAAUCGGCGCAAGGCUGAUCGAGCAAGGCCGGGUGAGUGAUGAAGGCGGGAGGGAGGUAAAGCACGUUUACACGAGAUGAUAAUGACAGUAUCGGGAGAAUAAGCCCCGGCUAACUCCGUG
This 436-nucleotide ribosomal RNA is filed under the name uncultured bacterium. RNAcentral describes it as "partial 16S ribosomal RNA". It matches the Rfam family "Bacterial small subunit ribosomal RNA", at positions 29 to 507 of the family's 1533-position model. The record is from RNAcentral.